RNAcentral lists this ribosomal RNA (639 nucleotides) under uncultured bacterium. RNAcentral describes it as "bacterial SSU rRNA". It matches the Rfam family "Bacterial small subunit ribosomal RNA", at positions 202 to 842 of the family's 1533-position model. The record is from RNAcentral.
AAAAACUGAGGUGGUAUACGAUGGUUCCGCGUCUGAUUAGCUAGUUGGUGGGGUAAAAGCCUACCAAGGCAACGAUCAGUAGCCGGCCUGAGAGGGUGAACGGCCACAUUGGGACUGAGACACGGCCCAAACUCCUACGGGAGGCAGCAGUGGGGAAUAUUGCACAAUGGGGGAAACCCUGAUGCAGCGACGCCGCGUGAGUGAAGAAGUAUUUCGGUAUGUAAAGCUCUAUCAGCAGGGAAGAAAUACUGACCAUAGGGUCAGCAGACGGUACUUGACUAAGAAGCCCCGGCUAACUACGUGCCAGCAGCCGCGGUAAUACGUAGGGGGCAAGCGUUAUCCGGAUUUACUGGGUGUAAAGGGAGCGUAGACGGCAGCGCAAGUCUGAAGUGAAAUGCCAGGGCUUAACCCUGGAACUGCUUUGGAAACUGUGCAGCUAGAGUGCAGGAGAGGUAAGUGGAAUUUCUAGUGUAGCGGUGAAAUGCGUAGAUAUUAGGAGGAACACCAGUGGCGAAGGCGGCUUACUGGACUGUAACUGACGUUGAGGCUCGAAAGCGUGGGGAGCAAACAGGAUUAGAUACCCCGGUAGUCCACGCUGUAAACGAUGAUUACUAGGUGUUGGGGGACCAAGGUUCUUCG